Molecule: RNA transcript, 2128 nt
Organism: Panicum hallii
Lineage: Eukaryota; Viridiplantae; Streptophyta; Magnoliopsida; Poales; Poaceae
Gene name: E3 ubiquitin-protein ligase RGLG2-like
Exons: 13
Source: RefSeq, a predicted model, not a curated record
CACUCACUCUCUCUUCACGGGCGCUCAGAUUUGAGAGAGUCGUCGUCCUCUUCUUCCUCGGCCGCCUAGUCAAGUCCACCGCUCUGACAGCCCGUCCCAGUCCUGGCCGCACCACCGCAACCAGCACUCCAUUCCCAAAUCCCCAAAUUUGCUUAGCGGUCAGUUCCCCCCCAAUCCGAGCAAACGGCGGUCCUCCUCUUCUUCUUCCUCCUCGGCAUGAGCGGCUUCUUGGCGGUCGUCGGCAGGAUCGGCACCUUCCUGCUGUGGGUGCUCUUCCUGGUGCUGCAGACGGCCACCCGGAUCGUCGGCAGCCUCCUCGCUGGGCCAGCCGAGCAGCAGGAGGACCCGCUGCAAGAAUCGGCGGCGGUAGCGCGCCGCAGGUCGCCGCCAGCCUCGCCGCGCCGUGACCCCUACGAGCCGGCGUCGGCGCCGCCGCCGCAGCUCUGGGACCCGCCGCCGCUGCCGUACUCCCCCUCAGCUCCCGCGGCGGAUGAGUACUCCUCGUCCUCGAGCUUCCGGCGUCGGAGCGCGCCGCCGCCACUGCCGGCUGAGGACGUAGUGGUGUCCUCGAGUGCCUACUCGCGUCCGCCGCCGGGGGCUUCCCAUGCGCAUUCCGUUUCGGCGCCUCCGCUGAGGGCAAUCGAGACGCGGGCGGUGCCAGCGAGGGCGGCGCCAGCUGGGGGUAAGCGGCCGAGGCUGGAGAGGAAGUACUCCAGGAUUGUUGACCAGUACCGCUCCUUGGAUGAGGUUAUCGAAGCAUUAGCACAAGCUGGUCUUGAGUCUUCCAAUUUAAUCAUAGGAAUUGAUUUCACAAAGAGUAAUGAAUGGACAGGAAAGAAUUCCUUCAAUGGCAUGAGCCUGCAUCAUAUUGGUGACACCCCAAAUCCUUAUGAACAGGCAAUAUCCAUCAUUGGGCAGACCUUAUCAGCUUUUGACGAGGAUAAUUUAAUUCCUUGCUAUGGUUUUGGAGAUGCAUCUACACAUGACCAAGAUGUAUUUGCCUUUUAUCCUGACGAAAGACCAUGCAAUGGUUUUCAGGAAGCUUUAGCUCGAUACAGAGAAAUUGUUCCUCACCUUCGCCUUUCUGGUCCUACAUCAUUCGCUCCAAUAAUUGAAAUGGCCACAACCAUUGUUGAGCAAAGUGGUGGCCAAUACCAUGUUUUAGUAAUUAUCGCUGAUGGGCAGGUCACACGAAGUGUAGAUACCGAAUUUGGUCAGUUAAGCACCCAGGAGCAAAUGACAGUUGAUGCUAUCGUACAAGCCAGCGAAUUUCCCUUGUCUAUAAUUCUCGUUGGAGUUGGAGAUGGUCCAUGGGAUAUGAUGAAGGAAUUUGAUGACAACAUACCGGCUAGGUCUUUUGACAAUUUCCAGUUUGUCAACUUCACUGCGAUCAUGUCAAAAAAGAUAACUCAAAGCAAAAAGGAGACAGAGUUUGCACUUUCAGCACUCAUGGAAAUUCCAUUGCAGUACAAGGCAACAUUAGAGCUUGGAAUUUUAGGACGUCGACUUUCAAAGUCGCCUGAGCGAGUUCCACUCCCUCCUCCCUUUGCAAGUUAUAGCACUGUUUCAAGAGCAGCACCAUCUCGGGCAAAUAGCUAUCGAAGCGUGCCUUCACGUCCUAGAGAGGAGCCAACUGUAGAUUCAACAAUCACAGCAUCAGUGACAUCCCCACCAGCUGUUGAAACUAGAGUUUCAGAACCCCAGAAUCUACAGAAUAUGAAGCUCUCGUGUCGCUUAUGCACUUCCUAUGUUUUCAUUCUUGGAUAAAUUCCUCUGCCACUGGAAUUUAACCCAUUUUCUUGAAGACACAUAUGUGCCCAGUUUGCCUUUCCAAACCCCGGGACAUGGCAUUUGGUUGUGGCCACCAGACAUGCUCAGAAUGUGGACCACAAGUCGCAGAUUGUCCAAUCUGUCGAAGGCCCAUUGAUACGAGAGUAAAAUUGUACUAGUCGUCGUCAUGUCAUCAUCUGUUGCGACUUACUAGGUUUAACGGAAUCGCAUGCAAGCAGGAAGUAGAAUCCAUUAAAAAGGAACUCUUAGACAUUGAUGAUGUAGAGUGUAUCCAUUUAAUAAAUCAGCUGUACAAAAUGGAGAAUAAUAGUUCUUUGCUCGUAUCCUGUUUCAGUUC